This 1231-nucleotide long non-coding RNA is filed under the name Chinchilla lanigera (long-tailed chinchilla). RNAcentral's name for it is "lncRNA (ENSCLAG00000027360.1)". The record is from RNAcentral. Lineage: Eukaryota; Metazoa; Chordata; Mammalia; Rodentia; Chinchillidae.
UUUUGGUUUUUCUCCGGUACCGGGAACCGAACUCACGACCUUGCGCUUGCCAGGCAGGCGCUUUGCCGCUGAGCUAAAUCCCCAGCCCCAGCACUGCAUAAUUUAAAUAUCCUUCAACAAUAAAAAGAAACCACUCUAAGAUUUCCUUCAGAGUUUAAGAAGGCAAGUUUAAGCCUGGAAAGUUUGAAGCCAGCCUGGGCUACACAGUGAGUCCAAGCCCAACUUAAGUUACAUAGCAAGACUCUGUCUCAAAAAAAAAAAAAAAAAAAAAAAAAGAGAAAGAGAAUCAGAAAAACACUUUUAUAGUCAGCUAGAGAAAUCCUAAUACUUACAGAUAUACAGUUUCUAUAUAGCUUUUCUACAAAUACAAGAAGUUUGGCACAAUAUGCAAUUAUUUGAAAAAGAAAGAAGUUGAGUCCUAGGGGAUAAAAUGGAGGGGAAAUAAAAACAACAGAAAUACAGUAAGAGAAAAUGAAAUAAGGAAAACAGAACAAAAGAUUCCUGCAGCUGCCAGAGUUGAGGGAGCUGAAAUUAGGAACUUUGCAGAAAGGCAGAGAUUUGCAAGAUAGUCGGAUAUGUUCUCCGCUGGGGGCUAGAACUGUGUCUGUCACAUAUUUGUGUCUGCAGAUCCUGGAAUGCAGUGGUCUAUUAAUAUGUACUAACUGAAGUAAAUGAAUGAAGCCUAUAAACUUCUGUAUAAUGGACAGCAGUUUUAUGAAAUGCUUUUGAAACAUUUUCCAUUUGAAGCAUCUAAUAAGGGUAAUGAAUAGUAGCAAUGAACUACUGUGAGCUUUUUAUGACUUAAUUUCCUUUAUUGGCUCAGCCAUUUAACAGCCUUUGUUGAGUAGCAGGCACAAUGGUUCAGCCUGUCGGAGCCAUGGUCUCCUUGCAGACAGCCUGGGGACAAUUACAACAGGGAUAGUGGUGGUGGUUGAGGUCAACACAACAUCCAGACACCUCCUUUCAAUCGGAAGCCUUCUGCAGCAAUGCAGGUGCUCACAGCCUUCAGUUGCCUUGAAUCUCAUCUCCCUGUGGUUGUCUGCAGCUUUCAAAAGCCACAAAACUUCAUUCUGAAGCAAGAGUUCAAAUGCUUCCCACAGGGAGCUCAGUUCCAAAAUCUCUUGCUUCUCUGAAAUGCAUUCUUAAGCACUGGAAGAUGUUCAACCCAAGAGCUAUUUGAUAUUUUUCUGCACAUGUGCAUAGCCUACCUACUCCCUACAGCCAUAAUGGA